AGUGAACGCUGGCGGUAGGCCUAACACAUGCAAGUCGAACGGCAGCACAGUAAGAGCUUGCUCUUACGGGUGGCGAGUGGCGGACGGGUGAGGAAUACAUCGGAAUCUACUUUUUCGUGGGGGAUAACGUAGGGAAACUUACGCUAAUACCGCAUACGACCUACGGGUGACAGCAGGGGAUCUUCGGACCUUUCGCGAUUGAAUGAGCCGAUGUCGGAUUAGCUAGUUGGCGGGGUAAAGGCCCACCAAGGCGACGAUCCGUAGCCGGUCUGAGAGGAUGAUCAGCCACACUGGAACUGAGACACGGUCCAGACUCCUACGGGAGGCAGCAGUGGGGAAUAUUGGACGAUGGGCGCAAGCCUGAUCCAGCCAUACCGCGUGGGUGAAGAAGGCCUUCGGGUUGUAAAGCCCUUUUGUUGGGAAAGAAAAGCAGCAGGUUAAUACCCCGCUGUUCUGACGGUACCCAAAGAAUAAGCACCGGCUAACUUCGUG
Molecule: ribosomal RNA, 492 nt
Filed under: uncultured bacterium
Lineage: Bacteria
Description: partial 16S ribosomal RNA
Rfam family: Bacterial small subunit ribosomal RNA
Source: RNAcentral